This 253-nucleotide ribosomal RNA is filed under the name uncultured bacterium. Its description in RNAcentral is "partial 16S ribosomal RNA". It matches the Rfam family "Bacterial small subunit ribosomal RNA", at positions 524 to 776 of the family's 1533-position model. The record is from RNAcentral.
UACAGAGGGGGCAAGCGUUGUCCGGAAUCAUUGGGCGUAAAGAGCGUGUAGGCGGCCUGAUAAGUCGGCUGUGAAAGUCAAGGGCUCAACCCUUGAAUGCCGGCCGAUACUGUCAGGCUAGAGUCCGGAAGAGGCGAGUGGAAUUCCUGGUGUAGCGGUGAAAUGCGCAGAUAUCAGGAGGAACACCUAUGGCGAAGGCAGCUCGCUGGGACGGUACUGACGCUGAGACGCGAAAGCGUGGGGAGCGAACAGG